RNAcentral lists this ribosomal RNA (1028 nucleotides) under Halomonas sp. Its description in RNAcentral is "bacterial SSU rRNA". It matches the Rfam family "Bacterial small subunit ribosomal RNA", at positions 56 to 1075 of the family's 1533-position model. The record is from RNAcentral. Lineage: Bacteria; Pseudomonadati; Pseudomonadota; Gammaproteobacteria; Oceanospirillales; Halomonadaceae.
UGCAAGUCGAGCGGCAGCACGGGGAGCUUGCUCCCUGGUGGCGAGCGGCGGACGGGUGAGUAAUGCAUAGGAAUCUGCCCGGUAGUGGGGGAUAACCUGGGGAAACCCAGGCUAAUACCGCAUACGUCCUACGGGAGAAAGCAGGGGACCUUCGGGCCUUGCGCUAUCGGAUGAGCCUAUGUCGGAUUAGCUGGUUGGUGAGGUAAUGGCUCACCAAGGCGACRAUCCGUAGCUGGUCUGAGAGGAUGAUCAGCCACAUCGGGACUGAGACACGGCCCGAACUCCUACGGGAGGCAGCAGUGGGGAAUAUUGGACAAUGGGCGCAAGCCUGAUCCAGCCAUGCCGCGUGUGUGAAGAAGGCCCUCGGGUUGUAAAGCACUUUCAGUGGGGAARAAAGCCUUCCGGUUAAUACCCGGGAGGAGGGACAUCACCCACAGAAGAAGCACCGGCUAACUCCGUGCCAGCAGCCGCGGUAAUACGGAGGGUGCGAGCGUUAAUCGGAAUUACUGGGCGUAAAGCGCGCGUAGGCGGCUUGAUAAGCCGGUUGUGAAAGCCCCGGGCUCAACCUGGGAACGGCAUCCGGAACUGUCAGGCUAGAGUGCAGGAGAGGAAGGUAGAAUUCCCGGUGUAGCGGUGAAAUGCGUAGAGAUCGGGAGGAAUACCAGUGGCGAAGGCGGCCUUCUGGACUGACACUGACGCUGAGGUGCGAAAGCGUGGGUAGCAAACAGGAUUAGAUACCCUGGUAGUCCACGCCGUAAACGAUGUCGACUAGCCGUUGGGUCCUUCGCGGACUUUGUGGCGCAGUUAACGCGAUAAGUCGACCGCCUGGGGAGUACGGCCGCAAGGUUAAAACUCAAAUGAAUUGACGGGGGCCCGCACAAGCGGUGGAGCAUGUGGUUUAAUUCGAUGCAACGCGAAGAACCUUACCUACCCUUGACAUCCUGCGAACCCUUCGGAGACGAAGGGGUGCCUUCGGGAACGCAAAGACAGGUGCUGCAUGGCUGUCGUCAGCUCGUGUUGUGAAAUGU